This 345-nucleotide RNase P RNA is filed under the name Youxingia wuxianensis. Its description in RNAcentral is "Bacterial RNase P class A". It matches the Rfam family "Bacterial RNase P class A". Rfam says of the family: Ribonuclease P (RNase P) is a ubiquitous endoribonuclease, found in archaea, bacteria and eukarya as well as chloroplasts and mitochondria. Lineage: Bacteria; Bacillati; Bacillota; Clostridia; Eubacteriales; Oscillospiraceae. The record is from Rfam by way of RNAcentral.
GGAGCGAAUUGGGCAGCGGCGCAGCAAGGAAGUUUUUCUUUGCUGCGAGGAAAGUCCGGGCUUCAUAGGGCAGGAUACCUGCUAACGGCAGGCCGAGGCGACUCGAGGGACAGUGCAACAGAAAGAUACCGCCGGCAGUCCUGCCGGUAAGGAUGGAAAGGCGAGGUAAGAGCUCACCGGGGUACAGGCGACUGUACUGCCAUGUAAACCCUAUCCGAAGCAACACCGACGAAGGCGAUACGGCGGCCCGCCGUGCCUUGACAGGUGGCUAGAACCGUCUGGCGACAGCCGGUCCAGAAAGAUCGUUGUCCGCGACAGAACCCGGCUUAUAGAUUCCCUCCCUGC